AUGGUUCACCCUGCUGAGCCAAAUGGAGUGCAGGAUCAUGUGGAAGAGAUCAUACCUGAGGGGCCUUGCGUGCCACAAGAAGUGCCUUUGCAGCCGCUUGACACAGUCGUGCAUGGCCACGUACCUCCGGAGCGAGAUCCCCUGGAGUAUCCUCUUGAGGUCCGGUAUGUCCUUCUCCGCCACCACCACCGAGAAGGCGCUCCAGUCGAGCACGUCGCUGAAGGGGAGCACGAAGUUGUCGGCGAUGAUCACUGGCACGCACUCGUAGUACAGGGCCUCCACGAUCCUUGGGCUGUUCACCUCGUACCCCAUGGGGCACAGGCAGAACCUGCUGUUCUUCAUGUGGUCGAUGUAGGUCAUCGUCCUGGACACCCUACCGGGGAGGAGAGCGUACACCCUCAUGUCCUCGUCCUGCCCCUUGCCCCAAUGCUGGAGGAGGACCGGCCUGACCCUGCCGUGCACGUUGCCCGCAAAGAAGGCGAGGAUGCGCCGCCGGGAGAUGGGGAGCCCGCCGAGGUACCGGAGGGGCCGCUUGGGCGUCCUGAUGGUCGUCUCCGGGAGAGACACGUCUUUCCCGGGCGUGAAGAUCCCCUCCGAGCUGUCGGCGUUGCACAGCGCCUUGAUGCUGUUCCUGGAGAGGUCGCGGUGCGCCGUGGUCGUGUAUGGUCCCUGCAACCAAAUUCAGAAUUACUCCAGUAA
RNAcentral lists this ribosomal RNA (699 nucleotides) under Triticum aestivum (bread wheat). RNAcentral's name for it is "partial small subunit ribosomal RNA". The record is from RNAcentral. Lineage: Eukaryota; Viridiplantae; Streptophyta; Magnoliopsida; Poales; Poaceae.